This 261-nucleotide ribosomal RNA is filed under the name uncultured bacterium. RNAcentral's name for it is "partial 16S ribosomal RNA". It matches the Rfam family "Bacterial small subunit ribosomal RNA", at positions 793 to 1055 of the family's 1533-position model. The record is from RNAcentral.
GUCCAUGCUGUAAACGAUGAGAACUAGAUGUUAGGUGGCAUGACCACUUAGUAUCGAAGCUAACGCGAUAAGUUCUCCGCCUGGGGAGUACGGCCGCAAGGUUAAACUCAAAGAAAUUGACGGGGGCCCGCACAAGCGGUGGAGCAUGUGGUUUAAUUCGAUGCAACGCGAAGAACCUUACCUACCUUUGAAUCCACAGAACCUAGCAGAGAUGUUGGGGUGCCUUCGGGAACUGUGAGACAGGUGCUGCAUGGCUGUCGU